UACAGAGGUCUCAAGCGUUGUUCGGAUUCAUUGGGCGUAAAGGGUGCGUAGGUGGCGUGGUAAGUCGGGUGUGAAAUUUCGGAGCUUAACUCCGAAACUGCAUUCGAUACUGCCGUGCUUGAGGACUGGAGAGGAGACUGGAAUUUACGGUGUAGCAGUGAAAUGCGUAGAGAUCGUAAGGAAGACCAGUGGCGAAGGCGGGGUCUCUGGACAGUUCCUGACACUGAGGCACGAAGGCCAGGGGAGCAAACGGG
This 254-nucleotide ribosomal RNA is filed under the name uncultured bacterium. RNAcentral's name for it is "partial 16S ribosomal RNA". It matches the Rfam family "Bacterial small subunit ribosomal RNA", at positions 524 to 776 of the family's 1533-position model. The record is from RNAcentral.